This 253-nucleotide ribosomal RNA is filed under the name uncultured bacterium. Its description in RNAcentral is "partial 16S ribosomal RNA". It matches the Rfam family "Bacterial small subunit ribosomal RNA", at positions 524 to 776 of the family's 1533-position model. The record is from RNAcentral.
UACGUAGGGGGCUAGCGUUGUCCAGAAUCAUUGGGCGUAAAGCGCGUGUAGGCGGUCCGGUAAGUCCGCUGUGAAAGUCGGGGGCUCAACCCUCUAAUGCCGGUGGAUACUGUCGGGCUAGAGUGCGGAAGAGGCGAGUGGAAUUCCUGGUGUAGCGGUGAAAUGCGCAGAUAUCAGGAGGAACACCUAUUGCGAAGGCAGCUCGCUGGGACGUAACUGACGCUGAGACGCGAAAGCGUGGGGAGCAAACAGG